This 528-nucleotide long non-coding RNA is filed under the name Mytilus galloprovincialis (Mediterranean mussel). The record is from RNAcentral. Lineage: Eukaryota; Metazoa; Mollusca; Bivalvia; Mytilida; Mytilidae.
GUAGUUACUUUAUGAAAACACGUAUUUCACUAAAAAUAGCUCUCUAUUUUACAUGUAAUUAUUAUAAGUUUGUUUACUCUGAUAUCUGAUAAACUGUCAACGACAUGGUUAAAAAAGAAGAAGAAAACAGACAAACAAUAGUACACUAGACACAACAUAGAAAACUAAAGACUAAUCAACACGAACCCUAUCAAAAAUUUGGGAGACCGGAGGUGCUUCGAAAGGGUAAGCAGGUCCACAUGUGGAACCCGUCGUGUAAGAAAUAAAAGUAAUAUAGCUGUUGAAAACGAUUAUAACAUGUAUAAUGUCUGGUCCAAUAUGUGUUUUUAUCAUUGAGGAAAAGUGUAUAGUUUUAUAUAUUGAAUUAAUCUUGGAUGCAAUUGUACUUACCGACCAACAAAUUAUUUCCUGUAAUGAAGGUCUAUACAACUUUCUGCAGCAAAACUGCUCUUGGGAAAUGGGAAUUACUUUACGUUAUUUUCUCGGAAAACCGAUAUCUAAAAAUAGUAUUAUCUUACACACCUGAAG